AAGGGCAAUGAAUCUUCUUACCUGUGUUUCUGCAGAAAUUUAGAAAACGCAGGCAGUAACAAUACCACGUUAUGAGCCUUAAAGACUUUGAAGUCAUUAAGGUCCCUGAAAAUGACUACAUGA
Molecule: small nucleolar RNA, 123 nt
Organism: Suricata suricatta (meerkat)
Lineage: Eukaryota; Metazoa; Chordata; Mammalia; Carnivora; Herpestidae
Source: Ensembl